GACGAACGCUGGCGGCGUGCUUAACACAUGCAAGUCGAGCGAUGAAAGCCUUAUGAACUAUUCGUAGUGAUUGAGGCCGGAUUAGCGGCGGACGGGUGAGUAACGCGUGAGCAACCCGCCUUAAACAACGGGAUAGCCUCGGGAAACCGGGAUUAACACCGUAUGAGACCCCGCCUUCACAUGAAGAAGAGGUUAAAGAUUUAUCGGUUUAAGAUGGGCUCGCGUCUGAUUAGCUAGUUGGUGAGAUAAAAGCCCACCAAGGCAACGAUCAGUAACCGGCUUGAGAGAGUGAACGGUCACAUUGGAACUGAGACACGGUCCAAACUCCUACGGGAGGCAGCAGUGGGGAAUAUUGCACAAUGGGGGAAACCCUGAUGCAGCGACGCCGCGUGAGCGAUGAAGGAAUUCGUUUCGUAAAGCUCUGUCCAAGGGGAAGAUAAUGACAGUACCCUUGGAGGAAGCCCCGGCUAAAUACGUGCCAGCCGCCGCUGUAA
RNAcentral lists this ribosomal RNA (494 nucleotides) under uncultured bacterium. Its description in RNAcentral is "partial 16S ribosomal RNA". It matches the Rfam family "Bacterial small subunit ribosomal RNA", at positions 28 to 523 of the family's 1533-position model. The record is from RNAcentral.